ACUACCGACUUCCUCUGUCCAAGAGUUGAAACCGGGUCCCCACGGAACGGACCUAAGGGUCUCCAGGCAAAGUGGGUUGUUUCCAUUGUGGAAACUACAGCUUUGAAAAUAAAUGAGUCUGUUUGCUGACAGGUUUAAUCUAGCUUCACCUUAACCCUUCCCUGCCUCGUUGACUGUUUAUUCGUUUUUUCGAGUGAUUUGGAGACUUCACUUAAUUAGUGCAACAUUGCCAACAUCGCGACACACCGAGGAGCUGAUGCGAGCACGUUGCUGUGACGUGGGAAAAAUAAGAGAAGGGAAAACUGUCAUUAGCUUAGCAUGCUCCAUUUCCCUCCCAAAAUAGAUUCUUACCGUAAAAUUUAAAUUGAAAGAGAAGGCUGAUGUGUGAUUCCUUCCCUCCCUCCCCCCACCCAAAUAAAGCCAUGGCCAGGCAGCUUCUCGGAAACCAGUGUGUUUAUGUAUUUACUAAUCAUAAAGAUAAUAUGCAAAAAGAGAAAAAUCUCUAAAUCCAGCCUUACUUCCCA
Molecule: long non-coding RNA, 524 nt
Filed under: Homo sapiens (human)
Lineage: Eukaryota; Metazoa; Chordata; Mammalia; Primates; Hominidae
Description: HSALNT0121006
Source: RNAcentral